UCUCUCUCUCUUGGUGGUUGGCCAUGGGUUUAACUGUGAUGGGGGUGCACCAUGAGAAGCUGAAGCUGCCAGCAUGAUCUGAGAAGUACUCCAUCCUCCCUAUCUUCUGGAUCUUGGAUGAAGUCAUGCAGAUCAUGUUGCAGCUUCAUCUACUGGUGGGAGCACCAAAAGAGCACAGAGAAGACUCAGCCUACUUUUUCUUUCUUUCUCCUUUUAACCUAAUAAUUAAGGUUUCAUGGGAAGUAAAUGGGAUGGUUGCUGAUCUUGACUCGCUUGGCAUGACGAAUCUGGGAAGUAAAUGAGAUGUUUGCUGAUCUUGAUUUCCUUACCAUGUUGGAUUCAUGGGUAUUGUGCUUGUUUCUAUUCUGAUACUGUUGAUACCUUGUGACAACAAAGAAGACCCCUAAUCAUGUAAAGAGGAAUGGGAUGGCUUGGCUCUCAUUUUGUUGGUGCCUUUGAGAUCUCGACCUUGGAAGAGAACCAAGGCAUCCUACCCUGUGAGUACUUGUUUUGUUCUAUGAAUCGUUUCGGCUGCCAUAUUUUAUGCAAUGUUCUCUUGACAAUGGGUCUCUAUACCAAUAUCUAGGAAGAUUUACAGGUUAUAACAUCAUCUCUUGCACGCACAAAUUUAUGUAUGUGCUCAUUACUUGACUUCAUGACUGCUACUAAUUUUAAUCCAACUUGCAUGCAUAAGAUUCUUCUUAUUUGCUCUCAGAAUAAUCUCGAAAGAUCUGAACCAUUUUGAGCACCAACAUCUUUGCAUGACCUAAAAUUUCAAAAUUGGGAAUUGUGUGAUGAAAAGCAUGGAAUUAGCAGAGCUGCAUUUUUUUUUUUUUUGCAUUAGAAUGGAGAUUUUUAUUUUUGUGUAGUAUUUAUAUGAAUCUGAGUACCUAAAGAACUCAAGAUUUGUCAUAGAUUUCAACUUCUUUUCAUUUUGUUUUUGAAGCUUCCCAUGGCCAGAAGAUUAGGUAAGUAGGUAGGGUCUUCUCCUGUUGUUUUUGGCCCCCCUCUCUCUCUCUCUCUCUCUUUAUAUUCUUUUUAAGGUACAUAUAUGUGGCUUUCUUUAUAAAGAACAGCAAUUUGAAUUAACCUCUCAAUUGAAAGAUUAUAAUCAAUGUUAAUUUGUUGAUUAUUCAACGACACUCGUUCCUUUCCUUUCAACUCUUUUCUCUUGCUUGUUGCUUGCAGCAGUUCGACUUGCUUUCCUCUCCUUGGAAGCUACAUGGGUGCCAAGGAAAUCCAGCUAUAUUAGCAUGAUUUGUUUGGUGCCCUCGUAGCUUUUAAUGCCCGAUUCACUGGUGGAGGACACAUGUUGAACUGUUCCCAUCCAUGUAGCGUUUGUCUCAUGCAGCCUCACCGUUUGGUUGCAUGGAGUCCAGAACCUGUGGAGCCUCAGUUGAGCUUAGCACCAAAAUGGUAUGGCUAUGUAUGUUCAUAUAUGACUGCAAAAGCUUCUCCCCAUGGCUCUUGUUAUGUUUGGUUCCAUGGCAGUGGCUUGGGCAUCUAAACACAAAAGGGAUGCCGAAAGGGAGAGAUGACUGCAAGGAGUAAAAAGGAGUUGAUGCAAUUGAGGAAAGUGAUCUGUCCCUGAGAAUUGAAGUCCCAUUGUAAGGUGAGAAAGUCAUAUGUCUUUUUCUUUGCUGAUGUUACAGACAGUAGUACUUAAUUGGUUUCUCAAACUUUGUGGAACUGUUGAUGGAUUCCAUCAACAACUUGCCCAACAUCUAAUUGACACUCCAGGAAUUGCUGCCAUGAGACAUGCAGACCAUGAUCGGUUUGAAGUACACAGACAGAGUUCAGAGACAAAACUUGCUGUAUAGAUUUAUCACACAGCAGAUGCAGCUUACACAAAACUAUAGCAAGAAAUGUUCUUGCAGCGGCAGAUACAUGUACUCUGAACCAGCAAAGAAGCAAUCUUACCCUUCUAAUAGUUACUUCGAUCCAUGAACAGUGAGUGCAGUAUUAGCAUAACCUGAUGAAACCAAAGCUACAUUUCAGCAGAGGAGGAAGCCAUGUCCAAACUGACGGACAAGAACUGCGACACAGAUCGAGAGAGGUGCUGUAGCCAUGGACCAACUUGUCAUGGAUUAUAGUUCCAGGUUGGUUGGUUGAUAGCAACUCCACAACCGAAAGAUCUUACGGAGGUGAUACACAGGGACACAGAAAACUGUAGCUUGGAUUUUGCUUCACAGUGCCAAGUUGUUCCACCGGCAUCAUCCAAAAGAAUCAGAAACCAUGUCUGGCAUUCUUCCCUAGCGUGGAAGGUGUAAUGAGAUCAUGUACUGCUCUCAACCCAAACGCUUCUUUCUAUACUUUGCAACGAGCAUUAUAUUCUAUACAUCACAAACUUUAUCUGUGCAUA
Long non-coding RNA from Musa acuminata AAA Group (dessert banana), 2362 nucleotides. RefSeq lists it as uncharacterized. The transcript is spliced from 2 exons. The record is from RefSeq and is a predicted model, not a curated record. Lineage: Eukaryota; Viridiplantae; Streptophyta; Magnoliopsida; Zingiberales; Musaceae.